Molecule: ribosomal RNA, 253 nt
Filed under: uncultured bacterium
Lineage: Bacteria
Description: partial 16S ribosomal RNA
Rfam family: Bacterial small subunit ribosomal RNA
Source: RNAcentral
UACGAAGGGGGCUAGCGUUGCUCGGAAUCACUGGGCGUAAAGCGCACGUAGGCGGAUUGCUAAGUCAGGGGUGAAAUCCUGGAGCUCAACUCCAGAACUGCCUUUGAUACUGGCGACCUUGAGUCCGGGAGAGGUGAGUGGAACUGCAAGUGUAGAGGUGAAAUUCGUAGAUAUUCGCAAGAACACCAGUGGCGAAGGCGGCUCACUGGCCCGGUACUGACGCUGAGGUGCGAAAGCGUGGGGAGCAAACAGG